AAGACGGUCUUGCUGUCACUUAUAGAUGGAUCCGCGCUGCAUUAGCUAGUUGGUAAGGUAACGGCUUACCAAGGCAACGAUGCAUAGCCGACCUGAGAGGGUGAUCGGCCACACUGGAACUGAGACACGGUCCAGACUCCUACGGGAGGCAGCAGUAGGGAAUCUUCCGCAAUGGGCGAAAGCCUGACGGAGCAACGCCGCGUGAGUGAUGAAGGUCUUCGGAUCGUAAAACUCUGUUAUUAGGGAAGAACAUAUGUGUAAGUAACUGUGCACAUCUUGACGGUACCUAAUCAGAAAGCCACGGCUAACUACGUGCCAGCAGCCGCGGUAAUACGUAGGUGGCAAGCGUUAUCCGGAAUUAUUGGGCGUAAAGCGCGCGUAGGCGGUUUUUUAAGUCUG
Molecule: ribosomal RNA, 399 nt
Filed under: Staphylococcus aureus
Lineage: Bacteria; Bacillati; Bacillota; Bacilli; Caryophanales; Staphylococcaceae
Description: bacterial SSU rRNA
Rfam family: Bacterial small subunit ribosomal RNA
Source: RNAcentral